This is a long non-coding RNA of Leucoraja erinaceus (little skate), 2050 nucleotides long. RefSeq lists it as uncharacterized. The transcript is spliced from 3 exons. Lineage: Eukaryota; Metazoa; Chordata; Chondrichthyes; Rajiformes; Rajidae. The record is from RefSeq and is a predicted model, not a curated record.
UACAUCACAUUUAUGUAUCAGAGCCCUCUCUUUGGUUUGUAAUAUAAGAAUAUCCUAUGUUAAUUUUUGAUGCAAAUUACAUUUCAGGGUUUUCGUGAUUAGCAGGAAAGGGUUCCUGCUGAUCCAAGCUCUGUUUUAGUCACUGAAGAGACGAUUCUUUGCCUUAAAACGAUUUUUUAAAAUAAUUUCUAGAGAGAAGAAAAACGAGUACACUCAAUUUCCGGAAACCGUGAACAAAUGCUCACUGGAUCCACCCAAACGUCAUGUUCAAGUCCAGCAGUCCAACUGCAGUGUCGAGGCGACUGGGGCUCCCAAUGUUAAAGUUCCCGGCGGACGAUGGUGCUGACUCUCCAAUACUCAAGGGCAAUUAGGGAUGGCAGCAAGAAUUGGCCUUAUUGGCAGAGCUAAAUCCCAAGAAUGAACUAAAUGUAUUUAAGUGUACCUAAUUGCAAAUCCCAAACGCAGUGUAUUGGAAAUGAAAAUAGAAAGAGCCUGUCCAUAUGCAUAAACCAUCAUUAAAGGCAUGUAAAUAUGGAUGAAAUAUAAAAGAAGAAGCCAUUGAAGUUUAUAUCAUGGGUGUUUGCAGUUUGCACUAUGACCCAAUUCAUAUUUGGAGUGUUUGGAAAAAGGAUCUGAGAUCUAUUUCCAUCCACUUUGCAAAAUAAAAGUCGCACAGAUGUUUCUCAGGUGUUGUGAAAUUUCAUUUUCUGAGCAACUACAGUAGUUAAAUCAUUCAGAACCUCCCUUUCCAAACUACAUGGGUUGAGAAGUAUUCGGUGUUUGCAGAUAUUUUGGGUGAGCUUGUAAAGUGUCGAUUACCUGAUGGAACAAUGGUUUCUGCAUCAAUAGAGCUAACCACUAAAAAAUAUAUAAAGAUUGCAAUUUAAAAAUGAACUAAACACCAAAUAUUUCUAAUGAGCAUAUUCCUAGAAUCGAGGAGGAUUUAUUUUGCAUAAGUCUGUCAUUGAGCCAAACAGGAAUGCACACUUGGGAUUGAGAAUGAUGUGGGAGUCAAAUCACUCAUGAUUCAGGCAGCUAUUGUGUAAGCUACAUGACAGGGUCCAAGAAGACAGAUCAAAUCAUAUUUAUAUAAAACUCUCAAUUUGACGCUCUACAUAGAUCAAACAACUUAGAUAAAGUUUCUAUUGCUAAAGUUAUCCUUUCUAGGUCUAUAUAGUAUUUCAACAAUUUAAGAUUAAAUCUCAUAAAUCUAAUUGUCAGACCUUCCUAAAUCUUAUUGAAUUUGGUCAUGACAUUAUUUUAAGAGACAUGUUUAACUUAGUCCACAUUAAACAUGGAGCCUUUUGGACAAUCGCAAACAAAAUAAAACUGAUAUGGAUUUUGGGAAACUUUCUGGUUUCCCCUCCCUUGGUUAUUACUGAGGUGAUUCACAUCAAAUUGAAAAUACAAGUGAUCGAUGAACUUUAUAAGCAGAUGAAGUUUUAAAAUAUUUUUCUCAUUCUCUCUUUCCUGCACUUUUAAGCUGAGUUUUCCUACUGCAACCUUUUCAAUACUCAAAGCAGUGUUUCUACUUUCAAAGUAGCAAAACAGUUCAGCUACUCUUAUCUACUUUAAUUGUGACAGCAGAAAGAAGAACUCAAUCCUUUCAGUUAUCAUAUGACUACGUAGUAAAUAGACUGUAAAAGAGCAACAAUCCACAGCUAAUGCCAUUGGCGCCAAUUAUAGCUCAGUGAGCGGAAGAUUACUGAAGUUCUUUUGGCUCAUUUAUGCAAUCUUAAUCUGGUUAAACUGGUCAUGCAUGUGAACCCUUCUUCAAAGUCACCUCCUAGCUUCAUCCAUUUACAGGUCAUAAUUGAAAAACAUUUUUAUGGAACAAUCCUCUUUUAAAAAUCAAACAUCUCCUCAACUUAUUGCACCCUAUGGUUACCAUGAAACUUUCAGAGUCAUAGGUAUUCUGUGGCAUAAGACCUUAAGACCAAAGUUUCAAUCUUCCUAUUUUAUGUUCCAUGUUUGCUCCAUGCUUCUUAGAAAUAUGUUCUAAUCACAUACAGCACACAUGGGAAUGUGUAGGAAGGAACUGCAGAUGCUG